GACGAACGCUGGCGGCGUGCUUAACACAUGCAAGUCGUACGGUAAGGCCCUUUCGGGGGUACACGAGUGGCGAACGGGUGUGUAACACGUGCGUAACCUGCCCACAACUUUGGGAUAACGAUAGGAAACUGGUGCUAAUACUGGAUAUGUGUUCCUGCUGCAUGGUGGGGGUUGGAAAGCUCCUGAGGGUGUGGCUGGAUUCGCGGGCUAUCAGCUUGGUGGUGGGGUAGUGGCCUACCAAGGCGGCGACGGGUAGCCGUCCUGAGAGGGUAACCGGCGACAUUGAGACUGAGAAAAGGCCCAGACUCCUACGGGAGGCAGCAGUGGGGAAUAUUGCACGAUUGGCGCAAGCCUGAUGCGGCAACGCCUCGUGCGUGAUGACGGCCUUCGAGUUGAAAACCGCUUUCAGCAGGGACGGUGCUUUUUGUGACGGUACCUGCAGAAGAAGCACCGGCUAACUACGUG
This 465-nucleotide ribosomal RNA is filed under the name uncultured bacterium. RNAcentral's name for it is "partial 16S ribosomal RNA". It matches the Rfam family "Bacterial small subunit ribosomal RNA", at positions 28 to 507 of the family's 1533-position model. The record is from RNAcentral.